Molecule: non-coding RNA, 86 nt
Filed under: human gut metagenome
Description: TPP riboswitch (THI element)
Rfam family: TPP riboswitch aptamer (THI element)
About the family: Vitamin B(1) in its active form thiamin pyrophosphate (TPP) is an essential coenzyme that is synthesised by coupling of pyrimidine and thiazole moieties in bacteria. The previously detected thiamin-regulatory element, thi box was extended, resulting in a new, highly conserved RNA secondary structure, the THI element, which is widely distributed in eubacteria and also occurs in some archaea.
Source: RNAcentral
UACCGCUGGGGGAGCCAAAAGGCUGAGAGGGGCGUUUUCGCCCAACCCUUAGAACCUGUCUGGAUCAUGCCAACGAAGGGAAGCGG